RNAcentral lists this ribosomal RNA (492 nucleotides) under uncultured bacterium. Its description in RNAcentral is "partial 16S ribosomal RNA". It matches the Rfam family "Bacterial small subunit ribosomal RNA", at positions 29 to 507 of the family's 1533-position model. The record is from RNAcentral.
AGUGAACGCUGGCGGUAGGCCUAACACAUGCAAGUCGAACGGCAGCACAGUAAGAGCUUGCUCUUACGGGUGGCGAGUGGCGGACGGGUGAGGAAUACAUCGGACUCUACUUUUUCGUGGGGGAUAACGUAGGGAAACUUAAGCUAAUACCGCAUACGACCUACGGGUGAAAGCAGGGGAUCUUCGGACCUUGCGCGAUUGAAUGAGCCGAUGUCGGAUUAGCUAGUUGGCGGGGUAAAGGCCCACCAAGGCGACGAUCCGUAGCUGGUCUGAGAGGAUGAUCGGCCGCACUGGAACUGAGACACGGUCCAGGCUCCUACGGGAGGCAGCAGUGGGGAAUAUUGGACAAUGGGCGCAAGCCUGAUCCAGCCAUACCGCGUGGGUGAAGAAGGCCUUCGGGUUGUAAAGCCCUUUUGUUGGGAAAGAAAAGCAGCAGGUUAAUACCCCGCUGUUCUGACGGUACCCAAAGAAUAAGCACCGGCUAACUUCGUG